This 497-nucleotide ribosomal RNA is filed under the name uncultured bacterium. RNAcentral's name for it is "partial 16S ribosomal RNA". It matches the Rfam family "Bacterial small subunit ribosomal RNA", at positions 30 to 522 of the family's 1533-position model. The record is from RNAcentral.
AUUGAACGCUGGCGGCAUGCCUUACACAUGCAAGUCGAACGGUAACAGGUCUUCGGAUGCUGACGAGUGGCGAACGGGUGAGUAAUACAUCGGAACGUGCCCGAGAGUGGGGGAUAACGAAGCGAAAGCUUUGCUAAUACCGCAUACGAUCUCAGGAUGAAAGCAGGGGACCGCAAGGCCUUGCGCUCACGGAGCGGCCGAUGGCAGAUUAGGUAGUUGGUGGGAUAAAAGCUUACCAAGCCGACGAUCUGUAGCUGGUCUGAGAGGACGACCAGCCACACCGGGACUGAGACACGGCCCAGACUCCUACGGGAGGCAGCAGUGGGGAAUUUUGGACAAUGGGCGCAAGCCUGAUCCAGCCAUGCCGCGUGCAGGAUGAAGGCCUUCGGGUUGUAAACUGCUUUUGUACGGAACGAAAAGACUCUGGUUAAUACCUGGGGUCCAUGACGGUACCGUAAGAAUAAGCACCGGCUAACUACGUGCCAGCAGCCGCAGUA